AUGGGAUGGAGCUUGAUUCUUUUCCUGGUUGCAGCAUCUACUGUAGUCCACUCCCAGGUCCAGCCGCAGCAGUCUGGGGCUGAGCUGGUGAGGCCUGGGGCCUCAGUGAAGUUGUCAUGCAAGGCUUCUGGAUAUACCUUUAUUGAUUAUGUUAUGAGCUGGGUGAAACAGAGGCCAGGCCAGGGACUGGAGUGGAUUGGGUUGAUUGAUCCUGAAGAUGGUGAUACUGUCUACAAUCAGAAGUUCCAGGGCAAGGCCACACUGACUGCAGACAAAUCCUCCAGCACAGCCUACAUGGAGCUCAGCAGCCUGGCCUCUGAGGACACUGCGGUCUAUUACUGUGCGAGAGACACAGUGUCACAACCACAUCCUGAUAGUGUCAGAAACCAUAGAGGAGCAGGAAACUGCCCUGGGACUGAAAUGACAGUGAAGAUUAGCCUGGAAACUUGCUCAGAAAUAAUUGCUCUGUGUCCAUUUGUUUUCCUUCUCCUCACAUUACCAUAUGACCUUUGUAAACUUUUCAAGACUAUAGCAGUGCGUAAAGUGAUAAUCAUUGAAUUUGUCCCCAGUGCACCUUGA
This is a non-coding RNA of Acomys russatus (golden spiny mouse), 579 nucleotides long. The record is from the annotation of a RefSeq genome assembly. Lineage: Eukaryota; Metazoa; Chordata; Mammalia; Rodentia; Muridae.